CCUACGGGAGGCAGCAGUGAGGAAUAUUGGUCAAUGGGCGCGAGCCUGAACCAGCCAAGUAGCGUGAAGGAUGACUGCCCUACGGGUUGUAAACUUCUUUUAUAAAGGAAUAAAGUGAGGCACGUGUGCCUUUUUGUAUGUACUUUAUGAAUAAGGAUCGGCUAACUCCGUGCCAGCAGCCGCGGUAAUACGGAGGCUACGAGCGUUAUCCGGAUUUAUUGGGUUUAAAGGGAGCGUAGAUGGGUUGUUAAGGUAAUUGGGAAAGUUUGCGGCUUAACCGUAAAAUUGCCAUUGAUAAUUGCAGUUUUGAGUACAGGUGAGGUUGGCCGGAUUUGUGGUGGUGCGGUGAAA
RNAcentral lists this ribosomal RNA (351 nucleotides) under uncultured bacterium. Its description in RNAcentral is "partial 16S ribosomal RNA". It matches the Rfam family "Bacterial small subunit ribosomal RNA", at positions 338 to 686 of the family's 1533-position model. The record is from RNAcentral.